RNAcentral lists this transfer RNA (85 nucleotides) under Propionibacteriaceae bacterium. RNAcentral's name for it is "tRNA-Ser". It matches the Rfam family "tRNA". From Rfam's summary of the family: Transfer RNA (tRNA) molecules are approximately 80 nucleotides in length. Their secondary structure includes four short double-helical elements and three loops (D, anti-codon, and T loops). Further hydrogen bonds mediate the characteristic L-shaped molecular structure. tRNAs have two regions of fundamental functional importance: the anti-codon, which is responsible for specific mRNA codon recognition, and the 3' end, to which the tRNAs corresponding amino acid is attached (by aminoacyl-tRNA synthetases). tRNAs cope with the degeneracy of the genetic code in two manners: having more than one tRNA (with a specific anti-codon) for a particular amino acid; and 'wobble' base-pairing, i.e. permitting non-standard base-pairing at the 3rd anti-codon position. The record is from RNAcentral. Lineage: Bacteria; Bacillati; Actinomycetota; Actinomycetes; Propionibacteriales; Propionibacteriaceae.
GGCGGGAUCGCAUAGUGGUCUAGUGCAGCCGCCUUGAAAGCGGCCAGGUGUAACAGCCUCUAGGGUUCGAAUCCCUAUCUCGCCG